GGCAACCCUGACGGAGCAACGCCGCGUGGGGGAGGAAGGUCUGUGGAUUGUAAACCCCUUUUCUCUGUGAAGAAGAUCUGACGGUAGCAGAGGAAUCAGCAUCGGCUAACUCCGUGCCAGCAGCCGCGGUAAGACGGAGGAUGCAAGCGUUAUCCGGAAUUAUUGGGCGUAAAGCGUCCGUAGGCGGUUUUUCAAGUCUGCCGUUAAAGACUGCAGCUCAACUGUGGGCCGGCGGUGGAAACUGAUGAACUUGAGUAUGGUAGGGGUAGAGGGAAUGCCCAGUGUAGCGGUGAAAUGCGUAGAUAUUGGGAAGAACAUCGGUGGCGAAAGCGCUCUACUGGACGGCAACUGACACUCAGGGACGAAAGCUAGGGGAGCG
This 379-nucleotide ribosomal RNA is filed under the name uncultured cyanobacterium. RNAcentral describes it as "bacterial SSU rRNA". It matches the Rfam family "Bacterial small subunit ribosomal RNA", at positions 376 to 770 of the family's 1533-position model. The record is from RNAcentral. Lineage: Bacteria; Bacillati; Cyanobacteriota.